AGGGAAAUAAGGAAACAAUCCUUGUGGGAAACAAAUUCCAAUUCAACAAGCAAAGGGAAGCGGCAGCAACACUAUAAAUAAAAAGGCAGCAAUAGACUAGGGCAUCUUCUGUCUUGGACUUGUCUCUUUGUUCUUUUCUUCUUUUUCCUUUUGAACGCAAGUAGAAAAUAGGAGCCGACAUCUUUUACUACUUCCUCAAUCGACAAAAACUCCAUGAAAACUCUGAAUUGCUUCAAGAUUAUGCGGCAAGGCUAGUUCGUUUAUCUAGUUGAGGAAUAAAUCAAGGAUCGGGGCACCAUAACUGUGAGAUCGUUUUAAUUGUUUUAUUUUUAAUUUAUAUGUUCAUGG
RNAcentral lists this long non-coding RNA (348 nucleotides) under Coffea arabica (coffee). RNAcentral describes it as "long non-coding RNA (CARA_LNC003655)". The record is from RNAcentral. Lineage: Eukaryota; Viridiplantae; Streptophyta; Magnoliopsida; Gentianales; Rubiaceae.